UCCAAGGCGUUUAGUUUCAGCAACUAGCACACAGACUUUUUUUGAAAAAAAUAUUUCAAAUUUACAAUUUUUCUCCCCUAAAAUAAAAACUGUAAUAUUUUAUAUAAAAAUUGCUUUCUAUCUUUUUAGAUGGCACCAUUACCAUGAUUUAAAGCCUAAUUUGGAAUGUUAUGGAAAUUCCUAGCAGUCUCUGUUAAAUAAUAGCUAUUGACUCGUCUAAAUAUCCUUAAAAUGUGGUGCAGUAUGUCGGCGAUGAAUCACCUGCUUCAUCGUUUCCACAUGGCACUUGUUGGCGGAAAGAUCUACUUUCUCAUAUGAAUGAACUUUUACUAACUCAUGGAAAAAGUUAUACGCAAUUGUUGACAUAUGACAAAACAUUUAAUUUUGGAGAGUUUUAUAUAUCUAUUCUUCUUAUGCGAGGAGUUUGUUUUACAGAAAUUUCUUUAAUACCAGCAAUGUUUAUGAUUCAUGAAAGAAAGUUAUAAAGUACUCAAAAAACUUUUGUUGAUAUUUUAAAAGAAAAACUGCCACCCUUAAUCGCCAACACUCUCGAUACAACAGAUGGAACUGCGGAUUCGGAUUUGUUCUUGAGAUAUAUGAUAUUACGGUUAUCUGCCACUAAUAAACUUGAAAUAUGGGAAAAAACUUAUUUUAAUACACCUCAACAACUCGACAACAGUUUCUGCCUCCCUAAAAAGCCAGCCUUACGGCAGAAAGUUACUUUGCCGCCGGGCGACAUUAUCAAUUCUGAACACUGCUUUCGUAAUUACGAACAUAAUUUUAUAAAAUACCAAUGCAUUAAAACUUGGAACAACCUUCCUUACAAAUAAAAAUCUCUCAAUUCAUUCUCAACCUUUAAAAUAAUAUAUAAAUAAGAUACAAGAUAUUUAAAACAUAAAGAGGAGUUGUUGAGAAAAGUAGAGCACUCAAGUUUGUUGAUGCUUUAUUGCUGACUGCAAGAGAUCAAAACUCGUGACCACAAUAUCUAUGAUACGCAUUCCUUAAGGGAACUUUAACAGGUUAUCUAAUCUGAAAUUGAUACGUUUAUCUAUCUGUUAUUAAGGAUAACGUUUAAUCUAAUCGGAAAUUUAUACGCUUUAAGUAUAUUAUUUGGAUGGUGCUACAGUUCCGGCUUUUAAUUCCAGUUUAAUUAACUAUCAUCUGUUCAGCUUUUUUUCGUGUAGUAAAAGUUCUGUAGCGCCAGGAAUCGUUUUCUUGA
Molecule: non-coding RNA, 1219 nt
Organism: Hydra vulgaris (swiftwater hydra)
Lineage: Eukaryota; Metazoa; Cnidaria; Hydrozoa; Anthoathecata; Hydridae
Source: RefSeq, a predicted model, not a curated record